RNAcentral lists this ribosomal RNA (434 nucleotides) under uncultured bacterium. RNAcentral's name for it is "partial 16S ribosomal RNA". It matches the Rfam family "Bacterial small subunit ribosomal RNA", at positions 341 to 792 of the family's 1533-position model. The record is from RNAcentral.
ACGGGAGGCAGCAGUGGGGGAUAUUGCACAAUGGGGGAAACCCUGAUGCAGCGACGCCGCGUGAGUGAUGAAGUAUUUCGGUAUGUAAAGCUCUAUCAGCAGGGAAGAAAAUGACGGUACCUGACUAAGAAGCUCCGGCUAAAUACGUGCCAGCAGCCGCGGUAAUACGUAUGGAGCAAGCGUUAUCCGGAUUUACUGGGUGUAAAGGGAGCGUAGACGGUGACGCAAGUCUGAAGUGAAAGGUGUGGGCUCAACCCGCAAACUGCUUUGGAAACUGUGUGACUAGAGUGUCGGAGAGGUAAGUGGAAUUCCUAGUGUAGCGGUGAAAUGCGUAGAUAUUAGGAGGAACACCAGUGGCGAAGGCGGCUUACUGGACUGUAACUGACGUUGAGGCUCGAAAGCGUGGGGAGCAAACAGGAUUAGAUACCCUGGUA